AGCAGCCGCGGUAAUUCCAGCUCCAAUAGCGUAUAUUAAAGUUGUUGCAGUUAAAAGCUCGUAGUUGAAUUUCGGGAUCAAUACGUCGGUCGUGCUUCGGUACGUACUGGCGUCAUUGAUUUCUCCCUUCUGGCGAACCAUGAUGUCAUUAACUUGGUGUCAUGGGAAAUCAGGACUGUUACUUUGAAAAAAUUAGAGUGUUUAAAGCAGGCUCACGCUUGAAUACAUUAGCAUGGAAUAAUGAAAUAGGACGUUCGAUCCUAUUUUGUUGGUUUUUAGGAUCAACGUAAUGAUUAAUAGGGAUAGUUGGGGGCAUUAGUAUUCAAUUGUCAGAGGUGAAAUUCUUGGAUUUAUUGAAGACUAACUACUGCGAAAGCAUUUUGCCAAGGAUGUUUUCAUUAAUCAAGAACGAAAGUUAGGGGAUCGAAGACGAUCAGAUACCGUCGUAGUCUUAACCAUAAACUAUGCCGACUAGGGAUCGGAUGAUGUUAAUUUUUUAAUGACUCAUUCGGCGCCUUAC
This 520-nucleotide ribosomal RNA is filed under the name uncultured Glomus. RNAcentral's name for it is "SSU rRNA". It matches the Rfam family "Eukaryotic small subunit ribosomal RNA", at positions 569 to 1091 of the family's 1831-position model. Lineage: Eukaryota; Fungi; Glomeromycota; Glomeromycetes; Glomerales; Glomeraceae. The record is from RNAcentral.